Long non-coding RNA from Callithrix jacchus (white-tufted-ear marmoset), 2722 nucleotides. Lineage: Eukaryota; Metazoa; Chordata; Mammalia; Primates; Cebidae. The record is from Ensembl.
UUUUUACGCUCUAAAUUAUGUCCAUGAUAGAGUACAUAUGUCCUCAUAUCUUCGAAUGCAUUGAAAUCUCCGGGAGUAACAAUAAAAAUACAUGUUUUGUGGUUGCAACCUGAGCUUCUGAUUCUUAAGUAUUCCAUAAGUCCUCCCAAAUCUGUAUUUUUAAUGAGUUGCCUAGGAGAUUCUUAUGCAUAUCAAGGUUUGAGACUCACUGGUAUUGUGGGAGCAACCUAUGUUAGAGAGCUGAGCUUCAGUCACACUUACCUACUAUUUAGUGUAUAAACCUUGCUACAUCUUAGCUUCCUCAAAGUAGUACUAGUAAUACCUGCCUCACAGGAUCAUGACGGUAAUCAAUGUGCAAGACCUUAAUAAAAUGUAAAGCCAACAAAACCAGCAGGUGCAGAAUUCCACAAUUGAGGGAACUGUGAAAUUCUGCACCUGCUGGUUCUGUUGACUUUACUGAAGGGAAUUUCACCAUUAGGGUCCCUUAGCCAGUAAAGGUAACUUCACUAACCAGCAUCCUAAGACAGAUGCAGAUUCUGAGAGAGAAAUCAGUCUGACAAUUUGUGUUACGGGUUUAACUGUGCCCCCUCCAUCCCAAAAAAUAUGUUAAAGUCCAAUCCCCCAGGACCUCAGAAUGAGACCUUAUUUGGAGACAAGGUCUUUACAGAGAUAAUCAGGUGGCAAUGAGAUCAUUAGGGUGCCCUAAUCCAAUAUGACUGUCGUCCUUAUCAAAAGUGGAAAUGUGAGCAAAGAAACAGACACACCAGGACAGAGGUGAGGCAGGAGAAUCACUUGAACCUGGGAGGUGGAGGUUGCAGUGAGCCAACAUUGUGCCAUUGCACUCUGGCCUGGGUGACAAGAGUGAAACUCCAUCUGAAAAAAAAAAUCGUGUGUUUUUACCAGAAGAGGACUCCUCUAGUAUCGGCUUGGUGCCAAUUAUGGGCAUUCUUUAGAUUUCUAACUUAAAAUAUCAUUCAUAUGUGUAGUCAUGGAAGCUUAAUAUCUCCUUAUCUGAAAGCAAUAGUUUGUAGUUUUAUUUUUUUGAUGGAAGUUAUGAGGAAGAGAGUUUGAGCUUUGUUAGCAUCAAGGUUGUACCCUUUAACUGGAUUAGUCACUAUGGAGACAGACUCUAGAACCAGAAAGCUUUGUACUAGUCCAGUGGUAGGAAGACUUAUAAAAAUGAACUGUGAGUCUUGUUAAUUUUUAUUGGGGUACAAUUUUGGUUUUGUUACUCUUUUUUUCUUUUGAGUUGGAGUCUCACACUGUCGCCUGGACUGAAGUGCAAUGGCGUGAUCUUGGCUCACUGCAACCUCUGCCUUCUCGGUUAAAGAGAUUCUCUCACCUCAGCCUCCCAAGUAGUUGGAUGCCCUCCACCAUAGCCGGCUAGUUUUUUGUACUUUUUUAGUAGAGACAGAGUUUCACCAUGUUGGCCAGGCUGGUCUCGAACUCCUGAACUCAUGAUCUGCCCACCUCGGCCUCCCAAAGUGCUGGGAUUAGGUGUGAUCCACCGCGCCUGGCCCGGUUUUGUUAUUCUGAUAAAAUUGUAGAGAAUAAUGAAAUUGAGAAAUGAAGGUAUUAAGUUAAAAUUGUUUUGGAAAUGGAAAUAUUAAGUUUUCUGUGUACUUUUAAGCACAGUGGUGAUGCAUUCAUAAAUUUAUUGUAAUAAUUUCCCCUAAUUAAUUUUAACAUGUGUAAAUUCUCUUUCAGAAUCAAGAUAAUCAAUGUAUCAAGAGCCCAACAAUCCUAUAAUUCCAUUGUACAGAUACGUGAGAAAAACCGUCUGUUUAAUAUAAUGUAAUUAUUGCCAUUUAAGAUGCUUUAUAUAAUGUACUUGAUAUGGUUUGGCUAUGUCUCCACCCACAUCUCAAAUUGUAUCUCCCAGAGUGGGAGGGACCCAGGGGUAGGUAAUUGAAUUAUGGCGACUGGCCUUUCCCGUGCUAUUUUCACGGUAGUGAGUAAGUCUCAUGAGAUCUAGUGGGUUAAUCAGGGGCUUUUACUUCUGCCUCAUUUUCUCUUACUGCCACCAUGUAAGAAGUGCCUUUUGCCUCUCAAUGUGAUUCUAAGGCCUCCAGGCCAUGUGGAACUGUAAGUCCAAUUAAACCUCUUUUUCUUCUCAGUCUCCAGUAUGUCUUUAUCAGCAGCGUGAAAAUGGACUAAUACAGUAUUGAUAUUUACCCUGUUUUAUUUUUUAGUUUCUUAAAAAGUACGUACUGUUACCAUAGUGAAAAAAAUUUAACUUGUGCUGCAUACAAAAUAUUUUAAUGAAUCCUUAACACUGUUCUUCAGUUAAAAUCUUUGUGUCCUGUAUACUUGGCCUAGGUAUCUCUGAGUCAGAAUCAAGUUUUUUUUUGCUUUUUUUUGUUUUUUGUUUUUUUUAGUAGAUUAAUAUAUGACCCACUCUACUUACUUGAAAUCAAUGGUCUUAGGUUAGGAAUUGAGUUAAAGGCAAUUCUUUAUAGAUGGAGUUCUUUUUAUAACUGGGUAACUGGAUUCUGCAAUUAGAAUCAUGACCCGAUAUUUCUGAAACAUCUUCAGACUAUACUUAAUGCCUUUGACAGUCUUACAUAUUUAUCUAUUAAAGUAAGAGUGGUUGUAAUUUCAGUAUAUUCUUGGGUAUUGAGUUGUAAAUUUUUUUAAACUAAAUCUAAAAUAUCUUUCAUAAACUUUAUUGGUCUUUAAAUUUUCCUUAUACCCUAUUCACAGUGCAUGUUUUGAGUUUUUG